CAGGUAACUACCUUAUCCCGCCAAAUCAACUCCCAAACGUCUCUUUCUCCAGCACAAACAAACUCCCGUUCUCUUCUCUCAAGUGAUGGGGUUGGAUGGAGUUGGCGGUGGUUCAUCUACGAAUGCUUGGUGUAUUCCGCAAGCUGGGGGAAGGGAAGUUAGGAUGUGUGUGGUUUGGGGAGCUAGUGGUAAUUGAAAUCAAUGGUGGGGCGGCUUGCAGGGAUUAUGGGAGGAGGGAUGAUCAGGGGCCUGAGUGAUUAUUAGAGAAAUAGCAGGUGGGCAGCUCGUGGCGGAGGAGAUUUUUCCCUUUAAAUUGGUGUCGUCAAGAUUACUUGCUGGACUAUUGACUAUAUUUGUUGUUUCAGUUUCUAUAUUGUUUCGUGUAAUUGAACACGGAGCAAUUGUUGAGGCCCCGGUCCAGGAAAGGGCGGGGUGUGACAGGAAUUUUUAGCACCACGAAUGCUGUGAGGUGCACCUUUAUUCCUUUUAGCACUUCUUAUUUAAUAGGCCUCACUGUACAGAAAUGUUCGCGUUCCUUGUGUGGAUUUUAUGUUUUCAAUCUAAGUGCAGCAAGGUUUGCUUAUUAAGUGUUUGAUGUUUUUGUUUGCAGAAUGGAGUUUCUACGAUCUAUUAAGUGUUUGUGUAGUUGAAAAUUUGAUGGAUAUGAUUUUGGAAGAUGGAUUGUUGCAUUUCUGUAAUUCUUUGUGGGGACUGCAUGCAUAGUUUCCAUUAAUUUUUUUUAUUGUCUUGUUAGUUCAUUGAAUCUUGAUCCCACCUUAGGUGAAGAUCUGCUAUUUCCUAUUGAUGUUAUGGAUGUCAAAUUAAUUCAUUUACAGAAAAUUGGAUUAUCGUUUUAGUUUGUCAUGUUUUGUGAUCUUUAUCCCUUAGCUGAGAACAUUUUAAGGUAUGAUGUUUGUGUAGGGCAAUUGUAUAAUAAAGAGCAGCUAAUCUAUUCUACAUUACUCCAUAUAAUAAUUUAGGCAUACUGGAAACCACAGUCUGGCAUCAUAUGGAGUAUGCUACUGUGUCAAAUUUGUACAAAAGAAUUGAUUCAAAAUGUCUUUAUUUCAGUUCUAAAUACUACUAACUUCUGUUAUGGGGCUCCAUAUGGCAAACAAUAGGCACUAGGGUGUGGGACUUCAGCUGGCCACAGGUACCGCUAGAUUUCAUAUGGUUAACCAACGAAAAUCAGUGGGAACAGGUGCCGCUAUAUUUCAAACUGACAACUUCACUCCAUGAUCAAGGUUACCAGCAAAGCUUCAACUUCGAUUCAUGUAGCAUAGACUCUCAAUGGCAGUCUUGAAAGCAAACCGAGGAGCAUAAUAUACGGGCUCAAAUCCUGUCUACAAAAGAAGUGUGUUGCCUUGUGUUCCAUCACUGACAAACCAAAAUAGAGGUUCAAUGGUCAUAUUCCAAAUGAUAGUCAUAGUAAAACAACAUAAAAAGCAUAAUUCAGAGGAAGAAUAGGUGGAGAGAAAAGUCCAUUGUGUAGUUCAGGUGAUGUCAUGGUGGGAAAGUAGAAUGGAGGCUGAGGUAGUUGUUAAUGUAGAUGGGAUUCUAUUUGGGAUGCCCUUACCGACUAUGAGCAGCUUGCUGAUUUCAUUCCCAAUCUUGUGGCAGGAGAAUUCCUUGUCCACAUCCUGGAUGUAUUUGGUUGGAGUAGAAAGGCUUGCAACGAGCUGUUUAUUGGCACGUAGAAGCUUGGGUUGUGUUGGAUCUCCAAGAGUUUUCAAAAUUCAGUAAGCAUGUUGAACUACACGAUGGCAUCCAUUUUAGAUGUCCAGUUAAAGAUACCAAAAUUUGUAUUAAGCAACAGAUGGGAACUAACUUUGAAAACCAUCUCCAAUCAUAGAUUUGCCUUAUGUUACUCAAUAUGCCAUAACUGCAUUUUUUCAGUCUACUAUAUGAGCUGCAAUUUGCUUUUGCAUCUGUUACAUUGAAACUUUCUCCAAGUGAAGAAUGUUUAAGUAUUGAACUUUGAUAAAGAUAUGAGUAGGGUAAAGGUGACUAUACAAGGUUUGAGCGUGGGACCCUGAGGGAUCUUGAAAAAUAUUUUGACCAUUCAAGGAGCUCCAUGAUAUUAGUUAUGAUGCAUAAGAUUUUAGAGCUGUCCUAUCCUUCUAUAUUCCAUCAUUUUAUUACUGAUAUUAUGCAGGAGAAAUUCUAAUAACAAAAGAGCUCCUAUCAUAUCCAUCUUCCUUUCCUAUUAUUUUCAUUUCCUGACGAGCAAUGCUUCUAAGAAACUCAAUUCGUUUGCACCUUCCCUCAGUUGAGAAGUUAACAGGAAGGCAAGGCAGAACUGGUAUUUCCGCUACUUUUAAGGACAAACAAGACUUUUCCAAGCAUUUCUCUGCUUGUCCAUUCUGGUAGAGUAGGUAACUGUAAUUAGGCAUACUUGUGUGAUAACUUUAUCUCAGUUUUUAACUAUCUGCAACUGACUGUUAUUUAGGCAAAUGAUUGUGAACUCCAGGUUUUCAUGGUUGAUGGUGAUUUCAAGAAGUUCGAAGGAAAAUGGUCUGUCAAAUCUGGUAAAAGGUCGUCAAAGACUACUUUGAGUUAUGAGCUAAAUGUCACACACCAACAUUCAAUUUUCCUGCAAUUUUCUUGGAGACAAUCAUCAGUUUAGAUCUUCCAAUGAAUCUUCAAGCCUUGGGUAGCAAAGCUGAAAGUAGUUUCAAGAACAGCCAGAAUUCAUUGACCGAUUAAGCUCCUCCAGUUACAACAUUAGCAGACUCCCUUACUUCCACAAGUUCAGAUGUCAGUGGUGUUACGCCUGACAAGAGUGUUUUUUCCACUGGAGAAUUAAAAGAAAUUAGUCAAGGCUACCUUGAGCCCCUUAUCUCCAGCAACAAGUGAGUUAACAGUAACUGGGCAAUAUUUGGUAAAGUAUGCAAGCUUUAUAAGCCAUGUAUGGUAGAUGAAGUUCAUCUCCGUAGAUUUGAUGGACUUUUGGUAACUGAUGACUCUUCAGGAAACCUUGCAUUUACCUGUGAAAGCCAUGUCUGAGAAAGUUGUCUAACCCAUCAUUUGGUCUUCUUGUGAAAGAAAAUGGAGGUGUUCACCAUUGUGUUAUUGCUAGCAUCACUGUAAAAGCUCCAUGUGUGAAGUUUGGAAUAUUUUGAACGAGUAUGGGAGAUUCCCUGAGUAGGUAACAAAAGCUUUCAGUGGUGACCUCUGAAUCCUGGAGAAUAAUAGGAUGGUUCCGAACUUAGCUAUCAGCAAUAUUCUGUCACGCGAGAACAAUAAAAUUCGCAAUCUUCAGGUACAAACUUCUGUUUUCGCACUAACAAUUAAUGGUGAGAUAUCAAAAAGUAAAGUAAUUGUGUCCAUGUUUGUCUCAUAUGUACAAAUCUUAUUGCUGGAUGCAAGGGUUUACUAUAUAUGGUACUUCAUGCGCGUGUUGUACUUUACUCGUGUGAAAUACUUGAACAAGAUAGUAGCUUUGAUCAGGUUGAAGGCGAUUUUGAUUCAUUCAGAGGGAAAUACAAUUUAGUGUGUAAGGAUUACAGAAUCGAAAUUAAAGGGUUAGAAUUCUAGACCUUAACAUACUUGCAACAGUGUGCUUGACUUCUCUAUUGGAACCUGUGUGCUGGAUUAAUGUCUAAUUCUACAGAUAAGUUGAUUGCAAAAGAGUUGGGGAAUGGACCCUUCAUUCGUGCCCAGCAGAAAAGCUUUUGAGCAAGCAGGGGGAAAAAUUACAUUUCAUCUAGAUUUCUUGUCAUUUCAGUGAUAAAAUUUUAUGCUUUACUUAUAACCAGGAAAAGACUCAACUUUUGCACUAGCUGGUCUAGCUUGUUCUUAUGCAUAAAAAAGUUUGACAAACUCUUAUUUGUAAUCCUUUUAUACACACGAAACGAAGUGUAGAUAUGCUAGAGUGAUCCUGAUGUGGAACACCAUCAGAGCAUGUAAAUGUCUAAAUAGUUCUUCAUGAAGUUUCACGUCUUCUUUCACUUAAGGUAAGGCAUCCUAGCAGACAGGCAAGCUUAGCAAGCUUAGCCUUAUAUUUCGCAAAACACUCAGAAGCGGCUGACAAAAGUGAAGGAAUUUGACAUAAAUUGGGUGGAAUGAUGUCUGUAUC
Coffea arabica (coffee) is the source of this 4078-nucleotide non-coding RNA. The record is from RefSeq and is a predicted model, not a curated record. Lineage: Eukaryota; Viridiplantae; Streptophyta; Magnoliopsida; Gentianales; Rubiaceae.